RNAcentral lists this long non-coding RNA (306 nucleotides) under Homo sapiens (human). RNAcentral describes it as "HSALNT0101539". The record is from RNAcentral. Lineage: Eukaryota; Metazoa; Chordata; Mammalia; Primates; Hominidae.
UUUCAAUGGCCGAAUAUUUUUAAGGGAUCUCUAGACUUCAAAAAUGAAGACACUGACUUAUCUUUCAUGUUCAUUACUGGAUAAGAGCCUCUGUCCUUUCAGGGACCAAUGACCCACAUUUCUGAAAUAUUAUCUGGGAUUGGGAUGUGAUGAACAAAACCAUAAGACACACAGAGUCUGACCAAGAGCCCAUCCCUCCCAGCACUCUCUAUUUCUGAUGGAGAAACCAGUGGUGGCUUUUCUACUUGACUUUGUCCCUAGACGCUGGUGAGUGUUCUAGCAUGCUUGGCUGAGCAUGGGUACUAA